Molecule: long non-coding RNA, 454 nt
Filed under: Rhinopithecus bieti (black snub-nosed monkey)
Lineage: Eukaryota; Metazoa; Chordata; Mammalia; Primates; Cercopithecidae
Description: lncRNA (ENSRBIG00000045234.1)
Source: RNAcentral
CCUUUAACCAGGCCUCUGGUCUCUGAGCCACAGGUCCCCUCUCUCCAGCUCCAGUCCACGUGGAAGCCUGGCCACUGAUCGGUGCAGUGUCCCCUCCAUUCGUGCCUGGCCUGGUCCUGUAAAUACUGACAGGUUACGAGGGAUCCCCCACCCCAGGAACAGCCUAAAAUCUCAAGAAGAGGAAGAGGAAACCCACAAACAAACAGCUUUUCCAGUUUCAUCUGCCCCCACCUCCCUGAGUCCUGGACUGGUGGGAUCCAGAAGGAAGGGCCCAAACUGCAGCCUCAUAAACUUUCCCGAAAGCCCUCAUAAACACCAGGCCCGGCUGGUGCCACGUCUGGUGCUGCAAAAAGCAAAAUCUCUAGUUGUAAAGUAAUCCUCAUAAAAAAAGGAGAGAAAAGAAGAAAAACCUAUGUGAUAAACACAGUAAUGGCCUCUAGGAAACAAGGUAAAG